UGAUCAUUACUUACUUAGAUUGUUAAAGUCAUCUCCAGUUUGGGAUUACCUAUAUUAAUGUUUCAGCGUGGAUGGGGAGCAAAAUUUUGAAGCAACUUUGCUUUACAUUGUGGAGCUGUGUCAAGAUGACACCCUAGUGUCAUCUAGUGUUUUUUUGAUGACACAAAAACACCCUAGUGGUUUUUGAUGACACAAACCAAACUAAACCAGAACAAAAAAAAAAAAAAACAAACCAAACAAAAAAAUUUAAAAAUUCCGGAAUAGAAUUUGGAUGGAGGACCAGGAGAAGCCACCAUGACAGCUGUCACCAGAUGGUUGCAUUUCCAAAGAAUGGGCAGAGGAAAAACAGGCAGAGGCACAUGGAUGAGUCAUGCAGCUGUCACAGUGAACUAUUAUCUCUUGCUCAUGCCCUUGAAGAAAGCACACAAACCUCUAUCGUUGAGAACUACAUCUAGCUUGGAAUUCAUACCCCAUUCAUUGCAACUUUCCAUAUUUACUGAUAGCCAAAUAGAACGUAAACUGGUACAUGAAGCAAUCUGGAAGUUGAUAAAAAAAGUAAAUGAAAUAAAUCAUAAGAUUUCUUAGCAUUCUGCUUUAAUUUUGCUUGAUAUAUCUUCAUCACAAGUACUAAAUGCUAUUUCAUUUUUUGGCUUUCCCUGUGGGGUUACAGUUGAUGAUAAAUUAGGCUUUUUCCCCCCCCUUUUUUCUGAAGUUAUAGUUUUCUUUAUAAUUCUUCCUAAUUUUAUUUUUACCUUCCUUUAUUUGCCCCCUCUAGUUUAUAUUGGCUCCUGAAUUCUCGAUUUCGUAGUUAUUAUCUCUUGAGAGGACAUUUACAACUCCAGGAUUGCAAUGAUUUUUCUGUAUGCAUGUGUAUCAUGCCUGAGAAUUCAAUUACAUUUAAGGAUAAUAAAAACCACAACUGCAUAAGCUGAAUAUUCCAAAACAUAACUACUUUGUUGUUCAAUAACAUCUGACCCUUAAGUAUCAGAGUACAGCAAAAUAACAAAGGAUAAAUGACACAAUAAGGCAUAAAAUAUGUCUCUCAAUAGUAUUCUCACAGAAAGCCACAGAAAAUGGUUUACUUUUAAGAUAAACAGAGCAAAAGAUUCAGCCACAGAACUCUACAAAGGGGAAAAAACUUUCAAAAUAGCAGUGUUAAUUGAGGAGAAGCCUGAUAUUUUGACAUAGCAAAUGGUAGGGAUGAAGGAGAUGCAGGUCAGAAGCCAAACAUAAAUUAUGAGAGGGGCCAUAAACAUGAACCAGAUUUCACAAAUAGAAAGGGGAAAAGGUUUGAAGAGCCUUUAAUGUUAACAAUAAAAUUUUGAAGUUGAUUCUCAACUUUCGAGGUAGUCAAUGCAGUUGCCUAAGUAAAGGGUAAUAUGAGAGUAGCAAAAACAAUAAUAAAUUAAAAAGGAGGCAGAAUUUUCAACAUAUCACAAGCAGAAGGCCAAAGGAUUAGAAAUACUACAAGUUCAUUAUUGUUAGGAAUAACUGUGGUCUGAUAGAGAAUGUUGGCUGAAAAAUUCUAAACAAGUGUAAAAAUAGACUAUAAAUAGGGUAGUUAUUAUUCAUCCCAUAGUUACACAGAGCACACCUGUGCCUUUUUCAUCACUGAGAUUGAGAUAUUUUGACAAUGAUUUUUAACUAAAUGUUCUCACUGCACAUUGUCAGUGAUCAGCCAAUUGGAACAGUCUUGUUUUUCAUCAAUGGAAAGAUCAGAAGUAUUUUGGAAUUAAGAUAUUGAGAAAACCUGACACUCUAUAUAUAUUUGGCUCAAAUGUCCACAUUUCAAGAACUUUAAAGUAUCAUUUACUGCAAAUUCAUUUCUAAAUUGUUUUUCUUCCAGCUACAGAGAGAGAGAAUGACUAAAAAGGGCAAAAGAAACCUGAAGAGAUUAUCUAGGCUAUUUUCCCUAAAAAAACAUAUUACACCAGUGUACUCAGAUGAUGAAGACCUCAUGACCUUCAUUGUCUAUGCCCAUGUCUACCCCCAUUAUUCUUAAUAUUUCCAAGAUUCUCUUCAAUCCAGGAUUCUGUCUCAAUGAAAUGUAAACCUAUUACUCUUUGUGCUACAUGUCACAGACAUGGCAAGCAGAUUAAUCUCUUUCUUUUCACAAGGGUCUUUGUGUACUUGAAGACAGUUAGUAUGCUUUCUUUCUGUUCUUCCUUCUGGAUUCAGCAAGUUCUUAAGCAUGUAAGAAAGUACUGUUAGCUUCAAUGGAACCUAGUAGGGGCUCUCCCAUACUUUGAAUUAAACUUUAGUCAUUGGCUGAAACAAAGCCCAACUGAGCACUCAGAAAUCAACAGGGCAGGCAAUCAGUUUGGUAAACUCAUGGUGGGACAAUUUACAUCUUCAGUUUGAUGUCACUUGAGAAGUUAUGGGCACAGGACAAAGAAGAUGACUUCUCAGAAAUAUAUAAACAUACAGGUAGCCCCACCCCCAAAAGGGAUCACAUAAUCCCUGACACUGGGAGAUGAUAACUCUGGGAUGUCGCUCAUCAAGGUGUACGCAUCUAGGGAUGUGAAGAGAAGGUUCUAUCAAUGGCUCUGCCUCUGCCCACUUCUUUCACAGAGAUGGUAAUUUGAAGGUUGCAAUACACUAUUCUUCCCCCCUUUGAAAGUCAUCCCUUCGUGGGAUUCAUGACUUUGUAAGUCAUCUCCUGUUUUACUUAACCACAUGGACUAAGAUCAUAAUUUAGACUGAAAGAAGUGAAAUCUUGAUAUACAACCUGAAUAUGUAAAAAAAUCAAAGACCGUGUCCCUUCUGGAAACUCAUUUCCUGCUCUCAGUUACUGAGGCUCUGAUUGCAUGGCUCUUGGUUUAGGAGGUAAGAAUACCAAGAAACUCAACUCAUUCUUGAUCUCUGUAAGAAAAUAAUUGUCAGGAAAUUGAUCAGUUCUAUCUGAUAAUAUCUUUACAGCAAGGUUAAAGACUACCAGUUCAAAAAAAAAAAACCGAAAACAAAAACCUGAUUUUAGCAGAACAACAAUAACAGUACCAAAAACGUUAACCUGUCCUUAUUGACUUUGGUGUGUUGAUGUUUUCAGCGCAUUAUAAAACACGAAUUGGAAAGUUUUCACGUUUCCUUUGAUUGCACAUAGAACUGAGUGAAAGCAUAAUUUCAAGAGCAUAAAGUUUAAGCUCAGUGUAUUCCAGAACAUUUGUGACCCUAAUUGUAACAGACUUCCUACAAUAGGUUUAUCACAUUAUCUCUAGUAUGCAGUGAACAUACUUGUCAAACAGACAAUGAUCCUAUGUCCUAAUGGAACCAUCUUUCUUAAGCGCAUUGUAGCUUUUAUUUUUUACAAUAAACAUUUGUCCUAAACAAUAGCACUUAUGUGAAAUACAGUGUUUGCAAGGGCCUUGGGAGCUGCAUCUUGGGAACAGAGACUCAGGUACAGUAAUAUGUUUUCUCAAUCUUGAACGAAUUGUUAGUGCUAUAAUAAUAAUCUCUUCUCUACCCUGCAUAAUACUCAUGCAGAGCUUAAAGCUAUGAAGCUUUCUGUACUAUAGUUAAAGCUUCGAGUGAUUUAUACCAUUUGACAUGCAAACACUUGAAAAAUGUAAUCUAUCAUGGUAAUUCUGACACAACCUUAACUCUAGUGGCAAUAGCAGGUAUCAUUUGAUUACAGUAUCUCCUGCUUAUAACACUGCCAUGGUAAUUAAAGCAUGUCAGAACCAAAAACAAGGCUAGUAAAGACACAUUUUAUGACAGAGACAUUAACAAAAUUUUUAAAGCAUGAUCUGCUACAGUGUUAAAAAUGGAAAAUUGUGCUCCAAGUCAUAAUGAUUUAGUCCUGAAUUACAGAAAUUGUUGAAAAUCCUAAAUAUGAUGGCAAUUUCAACUGUCUUAAGCAUAACACACUCACAGGAGUGCUAUGACAAAUACAUUUAAAUAUCUUUAAUGCUGAGAAACCUGGAAAGGCAAUUAGCAGUGAUAAAAUUUGUAUUGAAUUUGGAUAAAUUUUAGACAAUUAGCCUUCUUCUAAAUGCAAUUUCUGGCCAAGAAAUCCAUAGGGACACAUGACUUAUCCACAUUUAUUACUCAUUAGAGCAGAGUAAUUCCUGUCAUGGUUGAACAUCAAGGGAUUUAUCAUCAUAAACUCAGAUCAGCUAAUGUACUGAGUAGUCCUUUCCUCCCAAGAACAAAUCCCUAGAUAAAAGAUAUGAAAUAUAAAUUGACCACAACAAAAAGAAAUGCAUAGCAAUAAUAUGCAUGGCAGAUAUGUAGUUAUUAUGCCCAAUAUGCGUAUAUAUAUUGUGUAUGCACGUAGUGUAUAUUGGUAAUGUAUUCAGAAAGAAGAUUUACUUCUGGGUACUUCUCUUAUGUCUUAGAUAGCAAAGAUAGUUUCUGCAUGCUGUCUUAGUGAUAAGUUCCCUUCCAAAUAUUUAUAGUCAAAUAUGCUCUAUGAACAGAAUUUUGUUACUCUUCUCUCAGGCAAAGAUUCCUUCCUCUCUUUAAAAUAGUACAAUAAGUUUGGUCUAUCUUUUUUUUUUUUUUUAAUAUCUUACGGUUCUUGCUUCUCCAAUGUAUCAAAAUUAGAUUCUUCCAAAUAAUUUAAGCAAAGAAACAACUAAAUGAUUAAAAAGCCAGAGUUCAGCAGACUUAAAGAUUCAGGUGUUUGAACAGCACAGCCUGUGCUUGAUUUUUCGAAAAGUGACUUAUAUUGAGAAUUAAUGUUUCAGUACAGAUCAGUAUGAUCUCCUUCAGCCUGAGUCACUUUAGAGCUGAAUGCAAACCUGAACAUUUUCAGAUGGAGAAGGAAUUAAAAAAUACAAUUUUUAUAUUACUAAUUACUUUUCAGCCAUCCUCACAUUCUUCAUCAUUAACUUUAAGGAAAAAAAAAUUAAGAAAUAUCUGAGACAGCUGGCUUUUGUGUCUUCCCACUGUAAUGAAGUCCUUGGAAAUUCUAUUUCCAUUUUCCAGAGGUUAUAAUUGAUGAAUUUCACAAAAACUUAAAGCAGGUUUCAAGAUGUAAUGUGAAAUUACCUUGAACCACCUCUUUGUCUUCUGAACUUACUUAAAUCUUUCUCUUUUAUAAUUAGAAAAUUCCACCUAGUUUAAGACUCUUGUUUUCCUUUAUUUUGUACCUACUUCUCCGUAUGUGAAUAGCCUUUUUUAAAUUAAGUUGCUGCACUCAAUUUCACCUGUAUUUUAAGGAAAUAGAUACAAUUCUCUCUGUAUAAACAGUACAAAUUCUUGGUAUUUUCAUAGAUCUGGAACGCACAUUUGAAUAAAACUGAUUGUCCCUUCUUACUGUGCUCUGGUUUGUGUUGUGGGUCAUUUUUGGAGUGUGCAGAUUGGAUGAUUUUUAAAUUGAAAAUAAAUCCAAAUAUGCACUCCUGAGAACAUCUAAUGUACUCUAUCAAUAGCAAACUUUCAGUCUGUGAGAACAGACUAGAGAUAGGCCAAACUUAAUUACACUUAAGGCUUCCAGGUCCUCAUGGGCAGCCUUGCUGAUGUCCAUUCCAAUCUUUACUGUGUUUCUCAUCUCGUUAAAAUAGAUAUAUUUCCAUCUGCUGUUCUCUACAUCUUCUUCAGUGCAAUCACCUUUCUGAAAAUGUGUUUGUCCUGAGGUUUCCUGUGACAAUGUAAAUAAUUCCAUCUCCAACAUGCUAUUCAUGAUGCUGUUUUUCCCAUAUAAUAGUCCAAUCAAGUCCUGUAUUGAUGGUGUUCUGCAAAAUUACUAUCAGAAACCAUCAUUAACAAUCUUUGUUUGCCCAUGGCAUUAAAGGAUAUAUUUAAUAAAACUGGUCUCAAAAUGGGUCCAUAGGUUUUUCAUAGUAUUACUGUAUUCCAAGAUAGUAAUUCCCUUUGCAGCAUAAUCCAUUAUCACCUCCCACUUAGCUCUUCUUAUCCACUUUAAAAGUUCUUGUACUAGCCCUAUAUUAUCAAAUUCAAUUGGUAAUUUCCCUUGUGGCACCCUAUCAAACGUUUUAGUGAAAUCUAGAUUGACUACACAGAACACAUUUCCCUGUCAACUGCCAUUUAAAACCCAGGGUAGUAGUGUUAAUCUGACAUGAUCUACCUUUAACAAAGAGGUUUUGCAUUUCACCCUGUUUUCUAUUUAUCUCCCUAAAUUUAUUCUUAUUCUUUUAAAAAAUAUAUAUUUAACUUUGAAAAUCUUUGCAUAUUACUGCGGUCAGACUAUUAAGCUUAUUAUUAUGUGAAUAACUUUUUAACUUUUAACAUGGUGUUUACUCUUCUGUAUUAAAAAAUAUCAACUUAAAGUUAAUGCACUUAUUGAACAUUCUGACUUACUGAAUAUACAAUGCCAGAUCUUUCAGGAUUUUGAUACAAAGACUGAUAAAAAUGAAGGUAAAGCAAAAUUCAAAGACAUUUGAGAUGAAACAAUUUUGUUACCCAGAAUUAAGUUAAUUAUAGGAUUAAUUUAAAUUAAUUUUAUAAUUACCAUCACUGAAAGGUAAUGCCUUAUUUCACAUAUUUAUUUAAUCCAGUGAAUAAUCUACACCAUCUUUAAUCUUAGUCACAAACUCGUGUAUGUCCCUUGGUUUCCAGCAGCUCUAGGAACUGUAUUAUAAACAUCACUCCGGAACUUCACUGCCGAAAUAGGCAUCCAGGUCCAAAUCAGGAGUUACAAUAUAUGGCAUAAAUAACACCACAGGUCAAGAAGUUCUUAAAACAUCCGGUGAAGGACUUUUGUGCCUGAGCAGGGCUCUGGUGAAGCUGAGAAAGUCGAGACUGAUGCAAAAUUUCACCUCCACUGCUCCAGGUUUCUGAGUGCUUCAGAUACCUACUUGCCUGAAUUCCAGUUCCCUGACAGGCCAGUAAACCAAAAAAAAGCGUAUCCUUAGGUAGUUCUGAAUAAGAUUUUAGCAUUACUUUAGCUGAUUGACUGACCUCUCUGGAGAACUUCAGUUGGGUAGGUGUACAUGAAAAUGACAUUAAAGAAGACCUGAAUGCCAGAUUCCAGUUAGUAUUCAGGUAUUAAGUUCCCGAUGGUAGUUCUGAAGAGAUUAUCAAUCAAAAAUGUAAAAAAGUAACCUGAUUAGUUUGACCAUUUCUAUGAUUACAGAGUUUGGGGUUUUUUUUCAGUUUGCAAGCUUGGGCUUAGAUGUUUCAGUUCUGCUUUAGAGCCCUGAACUUUCCCUUGACCUACUUUUAAAACCAGAUCCACAGAAGGGGUGAGGGCUUUGGUUCUGCCUGUUUUUGGCAUGAUCUAGUCACCCAAAAGCUGUCAGGCUCCAAGGCAAAAUUUUACUUCAGCUUGUUUCUGUUGCAAGGUCUGGCUGUAAGCCUCAGAGUUGCAAUACAGCCUAUGUGAUCGCAUAGCACUUGGAGUCCAUCAGUCUUAAGCUUUUCAGUUAACAUUUUACAAAGGGUCACAGUAAAAAAAGAUUUACUAUAUAGCACAGGUUUUUGAUUGGGAACAGAAAACAAUGAGUGUAUGUGACUGCCUGAGCUGGCUGAGAUCUUCAUACAGCUUUUUUUUAUUAAAGGACAACUGAAGUUUAAAGUGUGACUGGGAGUACUGUGUUGAAAACAGGUUAAGAACAGCUUGAUAUGUAUUAAUUAAAAAUGAAGUCUGGAUUUAAAAUGGAGAGCAGUUGCAUCUGGGGGAGUGAGCUAUGAAGAAGUCACUGGAGUGAGUUAUAUAUUCAUUUUUCUUAACCUUCAAAGUAUACCUUUAUUUGUAGAAUAAAGUAAUAGCUUCUCUCUGCCAUGAUUGGUUGAAAAUCACCAUCUGUAGUGGAAGGAUUUUUAGGGGGGUCAUUUUUGUUUAAGCCUGGUUACUCUCCUAAAUCAUUUUGUUAAAACAGGAUGAUUAGAUAAUGGAUAUUCUGCAAAUAGAAUUUAUUUUAAGUAAUCCGUAUAUUUUAUGUUGAAGGCCAGUUACUUGUUCAGUUAUUAAUCAGUAGCUGAUAAAAAUUAAGUUGUCCAAAGAUGAUGUAUAAUUUUAAUAUAUCUGUAAAAUGUUUAUCAAGUCAGAAAUGUUUAAAUAAUAAAUAAUAACCAUUCUACUAUUUCUUUAGUGAUAAAGCAGCCUUGUUUACAACUGUCGAAAACAAGGUAAAGAUAAGUAACAUCCUACAGGUGAUUUGUAAUACAAAUCUUUGUAAUAAUACCAUAAAUAUUACUCAAAUAAUUUGAUAUCUGUGGCCUUUAGUGCUCCAAGAAAAAGAGGGAGUCCAAAUACUAAAUCGGUUUUAAACACUGAUAGUGAAGAUUCCUAGUAAUUUAAAAGUUCUAUUUAUUUACGUACAAAAUAAAAAAAACCCAAACAGGUGGACUGACAGAGCCAGGCACAUGAAAUAUCCAAAAAGUAUAUAUUUAAUACUGAGUAUAAUUUUUCACUUAGGGAUCCAUUUCAUGGAUUGCAGUAGGUAUAUCUUGAAAGAAAGUUUACAUCAAAAUUGAAUCUAAUACUUCAAUGUACACAAGGUAAAAGGUGGAAAGAAUAAAAGCAGAGUCCCUUUUCUGAAGUGUAGUAAAUCAAUUGUAUUGACACUGCAGAACAACAAAAAGAGUAAAUGAAGUUUAAUCACCAAUUCAGGCAUGGAAGUAGAUAAUUUAGUGUCUUUUCCCAUCACUACACCUUCUCCCCUCUCCCCCCAAACUAACAUACAACCCAAAUUGGUGUAAUACACUCCUUACAUCUGCACUCCAAUCGUGCUGUUAUUUUCAUACAGAGGAUAAGGUGUGAUCAAGAAGUGAACUGUAACUGAACAAAUGCUCUACCUGCAGGCUGCCUUCAGUGUUGACAGUUCAAUUUUCAAAAUACUUGGUUCUUCAAAAUACUACAUCUUGCAAAGACAUAUACAUUCAUUUACCUGACCAAGAAUGGAGGUAUAUACCAGAAAAAUAGUGUGUUUUCUCCUUCAUAUUGAAUUUAUGCUGAUGCAUGCUCAAGAAGCACAACCAAAAAAAAAAGAAAAAAAUGCAUCUAAUUGGAUUCACAUUAGGUCAUCAUCUAUCUGUUUAUUGGAAAUGCUAUAGCAUAUGAGGAUCUAUUCAAGACUCAAAACUAUUGCUGCCUAAAAUAAAUUUUACUGCCCCAAAAAUAGAAACAGGAAAAAAACUCCUCUGCAGUCAUUCCUCUAAUACAGGGACUAAACAUGCUGAAGGUCUGGUCAUUAGCUUCUCCUGGAUCUAGGACAGGGCUAGCUUCAGCCAUACUGAAUUCAGCAUACAUGCAGAGUGUUUGCUAGCUAUUUGACCCUAAAUAGAACUAGUGUAAAUACAAGCAGGCUUCUUCUCAAUGAAUUAAAAAGCAAGCAAAUGCAUGCCCCUCAGAAGAACAAAGAGGAUUACAGGCUCUAGGAGCAGUAACUAUAGAAGGGGGAAUCUUACCAGUGUAUACAAAAAUCUGAAAGGAGGGUGCAAAGAGGAUGGACCAGUGUUGUUUAGUGUAAGGACAAGAGGCAACAAGAACAGACACAGGAGGUUUCCUCUAAACAUAAGGAAAUACACUUUUUCUGAGGGUGACCGAGCGUUGGAACAAGUUACCAGAGAGUUUUUGAAAUCUCCAUCCAUCCUGUUUAAUGUGCUGUAGGAACCCUGUAUGGGGAGGUUGGAUCAGACAGUCUUGAGGGGUCCCUUCCAAACUCAACAAUUCUGUGAUUCUGUGAAUGUCUGUAUCCGACUUCACUCCCUCCUGAAAUGAAGUGUCCUGGAGCCUGAUCUAAGAAGUAUCCACAGACAUUUUUAUUUUGCUUCUAAAAUAUAUGUCAAUAGAUUAUAAGGGUGGCACCAGCUCUUGAUUAUUUCACUCAUAAACACAUGAUCAUGUAUUUAUACCCCAAGUAAGAAAGCACCGAAAUAACUAUUUCUGUCAAAUUAAUGUUUAAUAAGAGAACUCACUACUAGAGUACUUCCAUAACACAUAGUUAUAGACUGACUCUAUCUCUUCUGAACCACCUACAUAGAUUCAAAACUGUGAAGUGAAACACUGGGGACUGGUUGUCUGAUCUGAACUCAAAUGACAACAAUAUUGGGAUAGAAAAUGUAAUAUCAUUCGGAGAAAAGAAGUGAACUACAUGCCUCAACUGCAAGUUUUAAAUUCAUACCUAAAUGCAUCCAUAUUUGUCACUUUAUCAUAGUCAAGAAGAAUAUAAAAUCAUACUUUGGAGGUGAGGAGCAAUAGGUUUGGCAGGAAUUCUCUCUUAUUCCCUGCUAUAAAUUUGAAAAGAUCACAGGCAAAGCUUCUGGGGGCAGGGAAGAGGAAAAAGUUUUAACUUUAAUUAGAGCCAGAUUACCCAUUGCUGUACAGUUUACUGCAAUAGUAUUUAACCUGGAUAACCCUUGUUAAGGUUUACAUCUGGUUUCCUAAGGAGGUCCAGGUAAAGGGGAAACAUUACAGUGCAACUUAGCAUUUUGAACACAGACUUAGUAAUCAAUUUCUUGUACAUUUUAAAAACUGAUAUUCAAGGAGAACGUAUAUUGCAGUGAUAAAUUCUGAAAUACCCUAUGUAAUUUAUUAACAAAAAAUCAUGCAUAAAAAGGAAAUAUAAGCAUAGGUACACACACACAUACACACCGAUACUCUCCCUACAACAAUUCCUGUUUUACUGAUUUAGUUUAUGGACCCAAACACACUGAAAUCAGCAGCCUCCAACAAUGUCAUUAUCCUGGAUUUUUGUGGUGCACUUGGUAUUUGUUUUUUCUGAAAAGAAAGCAGAAGUUAUAGACAGUAUGUAUUCCACAGUCCUCUGCCCUAUGGAAAGGUCUUGCUGUAGUCUUGCAAAGAGUGUAGACAGGGGUUUUCUAUCCUAAAGUAACUCUCUUAACUAUUCCUAUUUUGUAUACACCAGCAAGAAAGAAAUGAAGGAAUAUCAUACUUCCAUUACCAAGCUUACACCUUGUGAUGAUUCACACUUAUCUUCCACAUAGUUCUCCAAUUACAGCUUCAGUUAAAGUAUGGUCCCAUUUAAUCCAUUACAUAAACUAUUUUAAAUCUAGAAAAUUACUGAGUUAUAACAGCUGUUAAGACACUGUAUUUGUGAAGGGAGGAGUUCCAGAAGGAAAAGCAAACUUCAAAUGAAUCUUUCCACAGAAUUCGUAUCCUGCACUGGUAUUGCAGAGAUUACACUAAUGACAAUGGGACAACAACACCCAAGGUGGCAAAUUCUCAAUAUUCACAAGCUUAUCCAUCAAUGACAAUGUACUUGGUGGUUUCAGGAUUUUUUUUGGUGCAAAACCUAUGAACACUACUUUUCAAGAUAUUUUUUCCUGAGUCAGUCUCUUUUAAGAACUGAUCUGUACUGUGUAGUGGUAGGGGGUGCUGGAGUGAUAUGAUCUUGCCAAGUAGGGAGUGGAUGUAAUAAACCUUGUAAUUUUUAAAUUAUGUAAUAAACUUUAUAUUACUCACCAAUA
Molecule: long non-coding RNA, 11334 nt
Organism: Pipra filicauda (Wire-tailed manakin)
Lineage: Eukaryota; Metazoa; Chordata; Aves; Passeriformes; Pipridae
Exons: 2
Source: RefSeq, a predicted model, not a curated record